CUCAUUUCUGUUUCCUGUUGAAGACACCAAGGGCCCUUCAAAACACACAAGCUUCUUGCUCACGGCAUAAAGCCCAAUUCCCUCUGGCCCCUGCAGGUUGGCUCAGCACUGGGGAAUCAGUGUCCCCUCCAUGACCAAGGCACCACUCCACUGACAGGGUUUCUGGAGGUGAAUAAAGUCAGAAAGGGCAUUCAAAAGGCUGUGAACAUCUCCACCUUAUAUAGGUCUUCUUACUGGAGCUGGCAGCCAAUGAGGGUAAUGAUACAGAAAAGGUCCAGGAGCUGAGACAAGGGUCCUUUUGAGCGCCUAUGUGGGAGGCUCUGGAAAGCUUAGCAACACUUUCCAACAACUUUGCCAGGGUCAUAUCUCCCAGGAAGAUCUCACUUCCCCAAAGAAUCGCCUGGCUUGGCCUCCUGCAGUGCCACGCUCCGUGUAUUUGACAAGCUGAGUUGGACACUCCGUGUGGUAGAGUGUCAGUUUGUCAAAUACCCCAAGUGCGGCAUAUGCUUACCAGCUCCAGGCCAGGGCAGAUGGCAUAUGACGAAUGGACUGCCAGCUGGAUUCAAGGAUGCUCACCAAGCACCAAGUUCUCACAAGUUAUUUUAUGUGACUCUGCAGGAACUGAGGCAUUUUUUUCUGAGGACACCAGAGGAAAAGUGUAGCAUCUCUGGGAAAUACAGCCCUGGGCUGAGUCUACACACACCAUGAAAGUGCUGAUGGUGGUGCAAUAGACUUGAAAAUGUAUAAUGGGUUCAAGAAUGGAAGUGCUCUUUGAUUCUUUAUUAUUUUCUUCCUUCACAUUCCCCUCCCAGAGUUUCCCAUGUAGGACAUCAGAAUUCUCACACAAGCAUCACGGCUUAUGUGAGUAAGCUGGGGUUAGAAAUUCACUUUCUUGACACUCAGUCUUGCCUUCUAAACACUCCUUGAUCUUGCCUACCUCUUCCCUUUUCCACGUGUCUUUUCCUCUAGGAACACUUUCUCCGUUUAUUUCUGCCUAUCCAGUUCUUCCCUAUAUUUCCUGUAUCAGCUAACGUCCACUGUUUCCAGAGACUUUUGAAAGUCAACUUAUAUUUUUUCCUUCUUCAUUCACAAAGCACUUCUUGCCUGGGCCCUGGCAUGUGCCCCUUUCUCUCCUACUGUCUAACAGCACCUCUUGAAUUGUCAAUGAACUUUUCUAGGGGGUUUUCUUGAAUUCCCAACUAGAUUGUGAGCUUCUAGAAGACAAGACUAUGUCUUUGAUUGCUGUCUCCCCUACCAAAACCCAGUACUUUAGUUACAGAAAAUAAUAAACGUUUACUGAUUGACUGAC
Molecule: long non-coding RNA, 1309 nt
Organism: Piliocolobus tephrosceles (Ugandan red Colobus)
Lineage: Eukaryota; Metazoa; Chordata; Mammalia; Primates; Cercopithecidae
Exons: 4
Source: RefSeq, a predicted model, not a curated record